AUCAACUUUCGAUGGUAGGAUAGAGGCCUACCAUGGUGGUAACGGGUAACGGGGUGUUAGGGCACGACACCGGAGAGGGAGCCUGAGAAACGGCUACCACAUCCAAGGAUGGCAGCAGGCGCGCAAAUUACCCAAUCCCGACACGGGGAGGUAGUGACAAUAAAUAACAAUACGGGGUUCUUUCGGAUUUCGUAAUUGGAAUGAGUACAAUUUAAAUCUCUUAACGAGGAACAAUUGGAGGGCAAGUCUGGUGCCAGCAGCCGCGGUAAUUCCAGCUCCAAUAGCGUAUAUUAAAGUUGUUGCAGUUAAAAAGCUCGUAGUUGAAUUUCGGGAUCAAUACGUCGGUCGUGCCUCUGGUAUGUACUGGUGUUAUUGAUUUCUCCCUUCUGAUGAACCAUGAUGUCAUUAAUUUGGUGUUGUGUGGAGUCAGGACUGUUACUUUGAAAAAAUUAGAGUGUUUAAAGCAGGCUCACGCUUGAAUACAUUAGCAUGGAAUAAUGAAAUAGGACGUUCGAUCCUAUUUUGUUGGUUUCUAGGAUCAACGUAAUGAUUAAUAGGGAUAGUUGGGGGCAUUAGUAUUCAAUUGUCAGAGGUGAAAUUCUUGGAUUUAUUGAAGACUAACUACUGCGAAAGCAUUUGCCAAGGAUGUUUUCAUUAAUCAAGAACGAAAGUUAGGGGAUCGAAGACGAUCAGAUACCGUCGUAGUCUUAACCAUAAACUAUGCCGACUAGGGAUCGGAUGAUGUUAAUUUUUUAAUGACUCAUUCGGCGCCUUACGGGAAACCAAAGUGUUUGGGUUC
RNAcentral lists this ribosomal RNA (799 nucleotides) under uncultured Glomeromycotina. Its description in RNAcentral is "SSU rRNA". It matches the Rfam family "Eukaryotic small subunit ribosomal RNA", at positions 314 to 1114 of the family's 1831-position model. Lineage: Eukaryota; Fungi; Glomeromycota. The record is from RNAcentral.